RNAcentral lists this ribosomal RNA (624 nucleotides) under uncultured bacterium. RNAcentral describes it as "bacterial SSU rRNA". It matches the Rfam family "Bacterial small subunit ribosomal RNA", at positions 65 to 735 of the family's 1533-position model. The record is from RNAcentral.
AGCGCGCCCUUCGGGGUGAGCGGCGGACGGGUUAGUAACGCGUGGGAAUAUGCCCGACACUAAGGAAUAGUCUCUGGAAACGGAGAGUAAUACCUUAUACGCCCUUCGGGGGAAAGAUUUAUCGGUGACGGAUUAGCCCGCGUUAGAUUAGAUAGUUGGUGGGGUAAUGGCCUACCAAGUCUACGAUCUAUAGCUGGUUUUAGAGGAUGAUCAGCAACACUGGGACUGAGACACGGCCCAGACUCCUACGGGAGGCAGCAGUGGGGAAUCUUGGACAAUGGGCGCAAGCCUGAUCCAGCCAUGCCGCGUGAGUGAUGAAGGCCUUAGGGUCGUAAAGCUCUUUCGCCAGGGAUGAUAAUGACAGUACCUGGUAAAGAAACCCCGGCUAACUCCGUGCCAGCAGCCGCGGUAAUACGGAGGGGGUUAGCGUUGUUCGGAAUUACUGGGCGUAAAGCGCGCGUAGGCGGAUUAGUCAGUUAGAGGUGAAAUCCCGGGGCUCAACCCCGGAACUGCCUUUAAUACUGCUAGUCUUGAGUUCGAGAGAGGUGAGUGGAAUUCCGAGUGUAGAGGUGAAAUUCGUAGAUAUUCGGAGGAACACCAGUGGCGAAGGCGGCUCACUGGCUC